Molecule: ribosomal RNA, 466 nt
Filed under: uncultured bacterium
Lineage: Bacteria
Description: partial 16S ribosomal RNA
Rfam family: Bacterial small subunit ribosomal RNA
Source: RNAcentral
GAUGAACGCUGGCGGCGUGCUUAACACAUGCAAGUCGAACGGCAAGGCCCAAGCUUGCUUGGGUACUCGAGUGGCGAACGGGUGAGUAACACGUGGGUGAUCUGCCCUGCACUUCGGGAUAAGCCUGGGAAACUGGGUCUAAUACCGGACAGGACCACAUCUUGGGUGGUGUGGUGGAAAGCUUUUCGCUGUGGGCUGAGCUGGCGGCCUAUCAGCUUGUUGGUGGGGUAAUGGGCAACCAAGGUGCCGACGGGUAGCCGGACACAGGGGGUGUACGGCCACACUGAGUCCUACAGGAGGCCCAGGCGCGGACGGGUGGCAGCAGUGCGCAAGCUUGAACCAUGGGUACAGCGCGGAUGCAGCGGGGCCGCGUGUGGGAUGACCGUCUUCGUGUUGUAGAAACCUUUCGCUAGGGAAGAAGCGUUUUGUGACGGUACCUGGAGAAGAAGCACCGGCUAACUACGUG